UACGUAGGGUGCGAGCGUUAAUCGGAAUUAUUGGGCGUAAAGAGCUCGUAGGCGGUCUGUCGCGUCGGAUGUGAAAACCCAGGGCUCAACCCUGGGCCUGCAUUCGAUACGGGCAGACUAGAGUUCGGUAGGGGAGACUGGAAUUCCUGGUGUAGCGGUGAAAUGCGCAGAUAUCAGGAGGAACACCGGUGGCGAAGGCGGGUCUCUGGGCCGAAACUGACGCUGAGGAGCGAAAGCGUGGGGAGCAAACAGG
RNAcentral lists this ribosomal RNA (253 nucleotides) under uncultured bacterium. RNAcentral describes it as "partial 16S ribosomal RNA". It matches the Rfam family "Bacterial small subunit ribosomal RNA", at positions 524 to 776 of the family's 1533-position model. The record is from RNAcentral.